GUAGUCAUAUGCUUGUCUCAAAGAUUAAGCCAUGCAUGUCUAAGUAUAAGCAAUUAUACCGCGAAACUGCGAAUGGCUCAUUAAAUCAGUUAUCGUUUAUUUGAUAGUACCUUACUACAUGGAUAACCGUGGUAAUUCUAGAGCUAAUACAUGCUAAAAAUCCCGACUUCGGAAGGGAUGUAUUUAUUAGAUUAAAAACCAAUGCCCUUCGGGGCUCUCUGGUGAUUCAUAAUAACUUCUCGAAUCGCACGGCCUUGCGCCGGCGAUGGUUCAUUCAAAUUUCUGCCCUAUCAACUUUCGACGGCUGGGUCUUGGCCAGCCGUGGUGACAACGGGUAACGGGGAAUA
RNAcentral lists this ribosomal RNA (347 nucleotides) under uncultured Lecythophora. Its description in RNAcentral is "SSU rRNA". It matches the Rfam family "Eukaryotic small subunit ribosomal RNA", at positions 20 to 371 of the family's 1831-position model. Lineage: Eukaryota; Fungi; Ascomycota; Sordariomycetes; Coniochaetales. The record is from RNAcentral.